This 257-nucleotide unclassified non-coding RNA is filed under the name Hevea brasiliensis (rubber tree). The record is from RNAcentral. Lineage: Eukaryota; Viridiplantae; Streptophyta; Magnoliopsida; Malpighiales; Euphorbiaceae.
UUUCAGCAACUGAAAAUCGAACUUCAAAUCCUAAUUCAAUGGCCGGUUCCACUGGUGGCACUGGUUCUUCCAGUCCCUCAUCGGCCCCUCCGGCUCCUAAAAUUCUAUUGGCUAAGCCUGGACUGGUUACCGCUGGGCCGGGGGGAGGCAAAAUUUGGCGCGGCUGCCGAAGACGAAACGUUGCCACAUCGGUCUUGUCUGCCUACAAUUCGGUCUCUCAAUAUCCUUUCUGAUUCCUGGGAAUUCCACAUCGAUCG